RNAcentral lists this ribosomal RNA (497 nucleotides) under uncultured bacterium. RNAcentral describes it as "partial 16S ribosomal RNA". It matches the Rfam family "Bacterial small subunit ribosomal RNA", at positions 28 to 507 of the family's 1533-position model. The record is from RNAcentral.
GAUGAACGCUGGCGGCGUGCCUAAUACAUGCAAGUCGAGCGAACAGAUGAGGAGUUUGCUCCUCUGACGUUAGCGGCGGACGGGUGAGUAACACGUGGAUAACCUACCUAUAAGACUGGGAUAACUUCGGGAAACCGGAGCUAAUACCGGAUAAUAUAUUGAACUGCAUGGUUCAAUAGUGAAAGACGGUUUUGCUGUCACUUAUAGAUGGAUCCGCGCCGCAUUAGCUAGUUGGUAAGGUAACGGCUUACCAAGGCAACGAUGCGUAGCCGACCUGAGAGGGUCGUCGGCCACACUGGAACUGAGACACGGUCCAGACUCCUACGGGAAGCAGCAGUAGAGAAUCUUCCGCGAUGGACGAGAGCCUAACGUAGCAACACCGCGUAAGUGAUGAAGCUCUUCGGAUCGUAAAACGCUGUUAUUAGUGAAGAACAAAUGUGUAAGUAACUAUGCACGUCUUGACGGUACCUAAUCAGAAAGCCACGGCUAACUACGUG